AUACGAAGGGGGCUAGCGUUGUUCGGAAUCACUGGGCGUAAAGCGCGCGUAGGUGGAUCAAUUAGUUGAGGGUGAAAUCCCGGGGCUCAACCUCGGAACUGCCUUCAAUACUGUUGAUCUUGAGACCGAGAGAGGUGAGUGGAAUUCCUAGUGUAGAGGUGAAAUUCGUAGAUAUUAGGAAGAACACCAGUGGCGAAGGCGGCUCACUGGCUCGGUACUGACGCUGAGGUGCGAAAGCGUGGGGAGCAAACAGAAUUAGAAACCCUAGUAGUCC
This 274-nucleotide ribosomal RNA is filed under the name uncultured bacterium. RNAcentral describes it as "partial 16S ribosomal RNA". It matches the Rfam family "Bacterial small subunit ribosomal RNA", at positions 523 to 796 of the family's 1533-position model. The record is from RNAcentral.